AUUAUUAACAAAUAUCAAGCAUGUCGAUUAAAUACCGUAAGUAUUAAUAAGUGUAGAAAACACGAAGACUGCGCAUGUUGCUUACAUGCCAGCAUUUGCCUAAUAUAUUAAGGCUGGUUUACGUCUAAUUUCUCAUAGGGCGUAAAUUAUCAUAUUAUGAGGAUAAAACGAUUUAGCUAGCAGGAAAUCGUUCGAAAUAUAACGCUAAGGCGAAUAUUAGUUUUGUUUAUUGUUCCUAAUAUUAUCCGCCGAGAUGAAACGAUAAACUAUGCACGUAGAAUGAUAUUAAUCGUGGUAGUUCGGACCCGGAGGCAGUAUCCGGCAGCUCCACCA
Molecule: transfer-messenger RNA, 333 nt
Filed under: Candidatus Saccharimonadota bacterium
Lineage: Bacteria; Candidatus Saccharimonadota
Description: partial transfer-messenger RNA
Rfam family: transfer-messenger RNA
About the family: Bacterial tmRNA, also known as 10Sa RNA or SsrA, is named for its dual tRNA and mRNA-like properties.
Source: RNAcentral